AACGCACAUUGCGCCCGCCAGCAUUCUGGCAGGCAUGCCUGUUCGAGCGUCAUUUCGACCAUCAAGCCCCCCGGCUUGUGUUGGGGACCUGCGGUUGCCCGCAGGCCCUGAAAACCAGUGGCGGGCCCGACGGCACUCCGAGCGCAGUAGCACCUGUCUCGCUCAGGGCGUGCCGCGGGUUUCUUCCCGGCCGUUAAACAGCGCCUUUCGCAAGGUUGACCUCGGAUCAGGUAGGAGGACCCGCUGAACUUAA
RNAcentral lists this unclassified non-coding RNA (253 nucleotides) under uncultured fungus. RNAcentral describes it as "partial contains 5.8S ribosomal RNA, internal transcribed spacer 2, and large subunit ribosomal RNA". The record is from RNAcentral. Lineage: Eukaryota; Fungi.